AUUGACUAGUUAUUAAUCCAGUGAUCGGUUAUAGCUUCACUCACCGGAUGGACUGAAUCGUUCCCAGAAAAAAAGUCACAAGUGUCGAUGCUGCCUCCGCCGUUACUUCACAUCCCAGCCCGGCGAUCAUCCACUCGGCUGACGCCGUAAAGGAAGCAGCAAAAUGGCGACACCUGCCGGCAAGAGCGAGGAACAACACCUGUUCCUGCAGCACCAGAAGGGGAGAACAAGGAUGGAUGGAUGUGAAGAUUUGUAAUUUGUAAAUUAAGUAAUUGUAAAACUCCAAGUAAAUAGCAUGUGAACAUUAAAUAUUAACUGUGUAUAUAAGGUUUAUUACUGACAGCAUAUAUUUUUUGUAUUUGAAUAUGGGGGUUAUUUAUAUUUGUAUGAAUACUUUUAUUAUAUUUGUAUGUGUGGAAUGGAGCACUGCAAUGUAGCAAUUUCCCGCAGGGGAUAGUAGAAAUAUUUCUGAUUCUGAAUUAGUCAAUUUAUCACUUAGAUGAUGGGCAGAAAAUUAAUAAGCAACUAUUUUGAUAAUCAAACAGGUUUUAAUUUAUUAGUUGAUUUAUUUUUAUUGAGAAUCUUUGGAUUUUGGAUUGUUGGUCAAAUAAGUCCAUAGAGUCCAGGCUCAAACUCUUCAAGGUAGUCAGGAGCUUUAGAACUCUUUGAACCACUGAAAGACAGUUUUACAAGUUUCUGAAAGAGAUUCUUCACUUUGGGUGUUGGACUUCAAACUUCACCUGAGGAUCAAACCCAUGACUGUAAAACACCUGAAGAGUCCUCUAACACUGUGAGACAUUAGGUCAGAGACACUGGAGACAUCAUCAAACACACAACCUCCAAAUGUCUCAAGACUUUGAAGUUGUGAGAGAUUUUGAGUUUUCACUUUUUAUGUUGGACUUCAAACUUCAUUGAGUCACUGAGGAUUAAAGCCCAUGACCUCUAACCUUUGGACAAAUGUUCAACAGCUUGAGAGAAUGGGACAGAAACAAAAAACAGUUAUUCUCUUUGAGAAUUUCAGUCUUUCCUCUGGACAUUGGUUUUCAACAUUAAUUCUGUCUCAGGAUUGAACCAACAACCUCAAACCUUCCAGAGAGUCAUAGACCACCUAGAUGCUCUUGUACAAAGACACUGUAAACCUCAUUUCUUAGAACUUUUCAGUCUUUGCUCUGGACAUAAACCUUCAAAACUAAGAGCCUCAGUUGUCCUGAGAUUCAGCACAACACCAAACACUGAUAUUAACUUUUAUUGUGAAAAGACAAGAACAUCGCAGCUAGAAUCUUCACAAUGUAAAAGUCAACAACAUUUUUAUCCUGUAAUAAUUUCAGCAAGACGGUCCUGGUCUAAAACAAUAUGCCAAGUAAAUUAAAUUUUAUUAACACAACUAAGGACCAGUAUACUUCAAGUGUGUUAAUGAUUAGUUAACUUAUUAUUCAGUCAACUUUUAUGUGUAAAAGUGAAACAACUUCAAGAGUACCUUGUACACUUAGUACACUAAGUAUAUGGCUGCUUGAUUAGUGAAACUGAAGUGUACCUUGUUUGUGUUACAAGCAAAUUCAAAAUGUAUCGUGGUUAUACGAGAUAUAGAUGCUGUGUAACAUGAAUAUAUGUAAUAGUACGUUGUUAUAGUUUUGACACAUUCCAACAGCAAACUUUAUGGAUAAUAACCAAUAUACUUUAUUAUUACUUUGCUACA
Seriola aureovittata is the source of this 1696-nucleotide long non-coding RNA. RefSeq lists it as uncharacterized. Lineage: Eukaryota; Metazoa; Chordata; Actinopteri; Carangiformes; Carangidae. The transcript is spliced from 2 exons. The record is from RefSeq and is a predicted model, not a curated record.